This 112-nucleotide ribosomal RNA is filed under the name Caerostris darwini. The record is from RNAcentral. Lineage: Eukaryota; Metazoa; Arthropoda; Arachnida; Araneae; Araneidae.
AACGGCCAUACCAUGUUGAAUAUACCGGUUCUCGUUAGAUCACCGAAGUCAAGCAUCAUUGGGCGCGGUCAGUACUUGGGUGGGUGACCACCUGGGAACACCACGUGCCGUU